CUACUGAUGCUGUGGUUCAAAGCCCUCUUCCCAACAACUGGGAAUAAGUGUAAAGUGCCAUUUACCCUCUAGGGAUUUUUUUUUUUUUUUUUUUUUGGCCUAGGAAUUUGAGCUAAUGCAUAUGUUAAAAAAAUUGAGUAUUGUAUCACACGUCUGCUUAUAAAUAAAUUUAUUUCUGUAUGCAACUGUAAAUAUAAGCAUUUGCAUUAAAAAAAACCUUUACAGAAAGAAAGCAAACUAUAAUCUUCAAUUUGUGCUUCAGUCAUCUGGAUACCUGGCUUUGGGGCAUAGGGGUGGCAACUUUCAAGGUCUCAGCAUUAUAGCAAUGUGGGUAGAAUUAUGGAGCUCUGUUUUGUUUAUUUUUUCCCUCACUUUUAGUGAAAAUUUAUGUUCAUUUUAUUGCUUCUAAAACCCAUCAUAUCCAUGUGAAAUAUGUAUUAUGUUCCUGAAUUUAUGGAUGAGGAAAUCAAGGCACAGAAAAAUUAAGAAACUGUUCAAGUUCUCACCACUGGUAGAGCCAUAUCACAAACUGAGAUCUGUCUUAUUCCAAAGACCUAUGGUCUUGGGAGUUCUCUUGUGGUGCAGUGGGUUGAGAAUCUAGUACUGUUUUCGCAUCAGCUCAGGUUGCUCCUGUGGCAUGAGCUCCUGGCCUGGGAAUUUCCACUUGCCACAGGUGCAGCCAAAAAAAACAAACAGAAAGAAACCCUAACGACUGCAACUACACUUCUUCCCGCUGUUGGUCAGCCCUUCCCAGAAAAUCCUGGAAAGGAAAAAAAAAUCCUUUGCCAAGCAAGUGAAAGUAGAAUGUGGGCAUAAGAUGGUGAUGUUAGAAGCUGGCGCCUGGUGAAUAAAAGGUUUGGCUGAAGGGGACUCACAUGAGAGGAUGUCAGAAGUGACUUGGAAAAAAAAGGAGAAUUUUAAAAGUAGACUUUGCAGUCUUUAGAGGUACCUUCGCCCAGAACCUACAUCAACCACAAAGUGUUCAGUGCAAGGUGCAGAAAUGAGUUCUGGGUAGCAUUAUCCCAAACACAAUCUCCUUCCUAAAAUAAUGGAUAUUGUGAGUUCCUACGGAUGCUGGAUGCUGUCUUUGUACCAAGUGGGGAGGAUACUUUGAACCUGCAGCAUUGUGCACACUGCGCUGAAACACUGGCUUAAUAAAGAAGGAGGGAGGGGAAGUGGAUAAAGAAAUACAGAUGUGGGGAGGGAUAAAUUAGGAGUUUGGAAUUAACAUAUACACUCCACACUACAUAAAACAGAUAACCAAUAAGGACCUACUGUAUAGCACAUGGAACUCAAUAUUUUGGGAAAGACAUCUAUAAGUGAAACCUAUAAGGGAAAAGCAUCUGAAAGAGAAAUAUGUACAUAUAUCUGUAUGAAUAUCUGAAUCACUUUGCUGUAUACUUGAAACUGACACAACAUUGUAAUCAACUAUACUUCAAUUAAAAAAAAAGAGUUAUAAUUUUAUCUGUUUUUGUAAAGUCAAAAGAAGGAUCAUGAGGGUUUCUCAGAAAUCACCCCAUGCUUUGGAAACAAGUUUAUCAAACAUCUUGGGCAGAGCCUGUAAACCGAGGGUUACCCCGCAGCCCAGAUUCGCAGAAAGAAUGCUGCUCCAUUCUCUACAUUGAGUUGAAUCUCUGAGAGCUCGCCUAUGCCACAAUUUUCUCUCUCCCAAUACUGAAAAGCCUCUACUCUUAAUUGAAUCCUUAAAUUUUUAGAAGCCUUAUGCAUAUUGAGUUGCGAAGCUGGCCAGAUUGCAUGUACUAAAUUCAGGAAUUGCUGACUUUCAGUGCUGUUUUUCCAAGGCAAUUGUCCUCCUGAGAGGCAGGAAGUAGCCAGGCACCUAAUCAACUACCUUCAAAACAAUUCAAACCUCACCAUCUUCCCUCCCACCCCCAAGUAAAAUGCAUCACAUCCCCUGGAGCCAACUGAACUUCCUCUUCUAUUUUACAAGCCACAAUUUCCUUCUUCCACAUAGUGAAAAACUACCACUUUUCUUGGCUUCAUUAAAAGUCUUGGUUUCAAAAGGGACAUUCUAUACAUUUGUAGCAUUUCUGAAAAAUCUACACCAACAGCUUUUGAGUUUUGGAAGUUCACAGGCAAGCACUAACAGACUCAGUCUCCAAGUGAAAAAAAUCAACCCUCUUAUGAUGCUCCCAUUGCUUCUUAGAAGUAGGUUCUGGGGAAAGUCUAUGUUUCAUGGACAGCCUACCUCAAAGCUAGCGAUUUGGUUAUGUUUUUCUUUCAGCUGGGAAAGGGCAGACUCGGGGAAUCACCUCAUUCUGACUCUUCACCUGACAGUGCCUCAACCACCUCUCUUGUCCCUCAGCCACACGCCUAAUAAAGGAAUUUGCAAAGGGAAUAUUGUUGUGUAUGAAUGCAGAAGCUGAGUGGCCAAUUCAAUGGUGUUCUUGUGAGAGUCAUUAAAAUGUCACCAAGGCCUCCUCCUUUCUCUCUAUCUCCCUCAUCUCCUCUCUGCCCCAUCCCAGGUGUGCAUGCAGAGACACUAGUGCAUCUUCAGGACAUAGCCUUUUCUCUAGAGGAAGCCCAUGAAACGGUGCAUUAUCAUCCUUGGCUUAGGAGGAACAUGCUGUGUUGCACCACACCAUGGAGCGUGCGUUUUUCCUUCUUCCCAAAAUUGUUUUGCUUUCAAUCAGCUGGGAAAUGAAACUUAAGUAAAAGGGUAACAACAGAAAAACAAAUCAGAACUCAGUGGUUACUGUUAGGGUAGCUCUCAGAGACUGGAGGGGGUAGAUUUAUUUUUAUUUUUUAUUUUUUGCUUUUUAGGGCUGUACUCGCGGAACAUAGAAGUUCCCAGGCUAGGGGUUGAAUCUGAGCUGCAGCUGCCAGCCUGCACCACAGCCAGAUCCAAGCCCUGUCUGUGACCUACACUACAGCUCAUGGCAAUGUCAGAUCCAUCACCCACUGAGGGAGGCCAGGGAUUGAACCUGCAUCCUUAUGGAUACUGGUUGAAUUCUUUACCGAUGUGCCACAACAGGAAUCCCCAGCUUGUGAUUUUAUGUCAUCAAGAUAAAUGAUAGACAUGUGUGUAAUUGGAUGCAAUUGACCUCCCCUUCCCCUGAGUUAUUGAAACAGGUUGUAUCUUGUGUUCAGACAUAGGUUGAGGAAGUGUCAGGGACAAUGGCAUGGCAGGGCUUUCCGAGUUCCUGCCCCUGGGAUCAUAUUUCUGUAGCCGAAAUGUGGCCUCCGCCUCUGUGCAUUGGCACAAAUUAAGUCUCGGAGAAAGAGUUUUAGGUGAAGCAGAAAGAACAGCUUAAUUGCUUUGCCAGGCAAAGGAGGCCAUGGCAGGCUAAGGCCUCAAAACUGUGUCCUGUCUUGAGAGGAAAUAACAAAAGGUUUUAUAGAUUUAGCUCAGAAGACAGGGUUAUUGAUUAAGGUGUCUAUAUUAUUCUCCCUCCAUAGAUCAUUUCAGAGUCGUUGGGUCCAUCGGUCAGUCCAGUGAUGGUUUUGAAACUGACAAUACUUAUGACUUGAACCCAGCCAGCAGAUUGGGACUUGAACCCAGCCUAAACCCAGACUGGGACUUGAGCCCACGUGCUGGGACUCGAAUUUAGCCAAAAGUCAGAUUGAGACUUGAACCCACAGUUUUUAAAUUAGAGUCACUCACCUGGUGUCUGGACUUACUGAGGUUCAGGUUCUUUGUGCCUCAGUGCAGAAGGAAUUCAGCAAGAGAGAAAGUGAUAGGCAAGAAAUAGAUUUAUUAAGAUGCUUGUGAGAGAUGCAAGCAGGCAGGCAAGGAGGCUCUGCCCUAAGGAUUAGGUGGGCUACAGUUUUAUCAUCCAAGAGAAAUGGGGGUGGCAAAAACCACCUCUUUCUCUUUCUUCAAGUAGUAGCUUCUCCUUGGUAUCCGGUAUCAGAGUAUUUGACCCUAUAAGGUCAAACUAGGACUGUCAUGGUGCUUAUUAAAAACAGCAGAAGGGUGGUCCUUAAAUUCCUGCCCUUGGUCUGAACCUGAAUGCUGGCCUCGCCCCAUCCCCACCCAAUGGCCUGAGGUGCAUAACUGGCACCUCCACCAGUCAAGCAAGCCUGCCUCCUUCUGAAAGCCCUCUGGAGUGAAGGCCCUCCGGAGCGAUCACCAACCCACAAUGAUCUCCCAAAGCUCCCCAGGCCCCCUCUCUCCAUCCAUGGUUCCCCACUGGGACCACCCCCCCGCCCCACCCCCAACCACCACCCAUGCAACUAUCCCACUCCAUCCCUAUCCGUUUCUGGCUGUCUUUGGGGUUAUCAUUCCUUGACCUUCUCUUUGGAAAGAAGAUUGCUCACAGGGAAGUGGCGAUAGGUGGUGUUCCAUUACAGAAGAAAAACUAGAUGCAAUAAAACACUGGGUGCAGUAACUCUAACUAGAAAGUAAACAUUAGCAAUACGUUUGUGUGUCCAGGCAGGGCAUAACAUAAUGGAAGUGGUUUUAACUAGUUUUGUUUUUUAGCUGUAACAAAAUUUCCUAAUGAUUAACUCCGGAGUCAGUCUUUUGAGACUGAGGGGAGGCCUGGGAGGUGAAAGGAAAAGCCUUUUACUUCAAAACAUAAGGACUCAGGCGUUUGUACAUGGUUUCACUUCUGAGAUACAAUGAUUCAGACUCUAUAGGUCUUUGAUGCCAUCCAGAUCUCACAUAGGGAUAACACUCUGAUUUGAGGGAGU
Molecule: long non-coding RNA, 4656 nt
Filed under: Sus scrofa (pig)
Lineage: Eukaryota; Metazoa; Chordata; Mammalia; Artiodactyla; Suidae
Description: lncRNA (ENSSSCG00030072663.1)
Source: RNAcentral